GCGAAGGACCUACAAACAAUACCGAAACUGAUAUUUCCCUCGCAUCAGACACGAUGGAGCUCUCGCGGGCGAGGCUGCAUACGAGCUGAGUCGACUACACAGCGGAUUAAUGGCCGGACGUGGCGGUUUCCAUGAAGUUGUUAACGUCGUUGACGAGCUUCCCGGCGUCGGGGAGCUUCAGGAACAUGUAGAAGCCAUGGAUAGCGUCCGCUAACUCCAGCACCUGCACCGCCU
This 234-nucleotide ribosomal RNA is filed under the name Triticum aestivum (bread wheat). RNAcentral describes it as "partial small subunit ribosomal RNA". The record is from RNAcentral. Lineage: Eukaryota; Viridiplantae; Streptophyta; Magnoliopsida; Poales; Poaceae.